This 627-nucleotide long non-coding RNA is filed under the name Phasianus colchicus (ring-necked pheasant). Its description in RNAcentral is "lncRNA (ENSPCLG00000016867.1)". Lineage: Eukaryota; Metazoa; Chordata; Aves; Galliformes; Phasianidae. The record is from RNAcentral.
GGGUGCCUCAAGGGUGCUCUAUGGGUGCCCCAAGGAUGCCCUAUGGGUGCCCCACGGGUGCCCCAUGGAGGCUACUUGGGUGCCCCAUGGAGGCUACUUGGGUGCCCCAUUGGGUGCUCCAAGGAUGCCCUAUGGGUGCCCCACGGGUGCCCCAUGGACGCUUUUGGGUGCCCCAUUGGAUGCCUCAAGGGUGCCCCAUGGGUGCCCCAUGGAGGCUUCUUGGGUGCCCCAUUGGAUGCCCCAUUGGAUGCCCCAUGGGUGCCCCACGGGUGUCCCAUGGACGUUUCUUGGGUGCCCCAUUGGGUGCCCCUAGGAUGCCCCAUGGGUGCCCCAUUGGAUGCCUCAAGGGUGUGCUUAGGAUGCCCCACAGGUGCCCCACGGAUGCCCCAUAGAUGCCCCACGGAUGCUUCUUGGAUGCCCUAUGGAUGCCUCUUGGUUGCCCCAUGGAUGUUAUUUGGUUGCCCCAUGGAUUCAUCUCGGUUGCCCCAUGGAUGUUAUUUGGUUGCCCCAUGGAUGUUAUUUGGUUGCCCCAUGGAUGCCUCAUGGGCAGAUGUUCAUCGGGCGCCCCACGGAUUCUUCUGGAUUGCUCCAUGGAUGCUUCUCGGAUGCCCCAUAGCUGCCCCAUAG